UACGUAGGGUCCGAGCGUUGUCCGGAAUCAUUGGGCGUAAAGCGCGUGUAGGCGGCUCGGUAAGUCUGCUCUGAAAGCCCGGGGCUCAACCCUGGGAGGCGGGUGGAUACUGCUGAGCUCGAGUCCGGAAGAGGCGAGUGGAAUUCCUGGUGUAGCGGUGAAAUGCGCAGAUAUCAGGAGGAACACCAAUGGCGAAGGCAGCUCGCUGGGACGGUACUGACGCUGAGACGCGAAAGCGUGGGGAGCAAACAGG
Molecule: ribosomal RNA, 253 nt
Filed under: uncultured bacterium
Lineage: Bacteria
Description: partial 16S ribosomal RNA
Rfam family: Bacterial small subunit ribosomal RNA
Source: RNAcentral